GCGCCCGUAGCUCAGCUGGAUAGAGUACUGCCCUCCGAAGGCAGGGGUCACAGGUUCGAAUCCUGUCGGGCGCGCCA
This 77-nucleotide transfer RNA is filed under the name Thiocystis violacea. RNAcentral's name for it is "tRNA-Arg". It matches the Rfam family "tRNA". From Rfam's summary of the family: Transfer RNA (tRNA) molecules are approximately 80 nucleotides in length. RNAcentral also lists the same sequence under 56 other names. Lineage: Bacteria; Pseudomonadati; Pseudomonadota; Gammaproteobacteria; Chromatiales; Chromatiaceae. The record is from RNAcentral.